AUUGAACGCUGGCGGCAUGCCUUACACAUGCAAGUCGAACGGCAGCGGACCUUCGGGUGCCGGCGAGUGGCGAACGGGUGAGUAAUAUAUCGGAACGUACCUUUCAGUGGGGGAUAACGUAGCGAAAGUUACGCUAAUACCGCAUAUUCUGUGAGCAGGAAAGCNGGGGAUCGCAAGACCUUGCGCUGAUUGAGCGGCCGAUAUCAGAUUAGCUAGUUGGUGAGGUAAAGGCUCACCAAGGCGACGAUCUGUAGCGGGUCUGAGAGGAUGAUCCGCCACACUGGAACUGAGACACGGUCCAGACUCCUACGGGAGGCAGCAGUGGGGAAUUUUGGACAAUGGGCGCAAGCCUGAUCCAGCCAUGCCGCGUGAGUGAAGAAGG
RNAcentral lists this ribosomal RNA (382 nucleotides) under uncultured bacterium. RNAcentral's name for it is "bacterial SSU rRNA". It matches the Rfam family "Bacterial small subunit ribosomal RNA", at positions 30 to 414 of the family's 1533-position model. The record is from RNAcentral.